RNAcentral lists this ribosomal RNA (232 nucleotides) under uncultured eukaryote. RNAcentral's name for it is "partial small subunit ribosomal RNA". It matches the Rfam family "Eukaryotic small subunit ribosomal RNA", at positions 587 to 823 of the family's 1831-position model. The record is from RNAcentral.
AGCUCCAAAGGCGUAUAUUAAAGUUGUUGCGGUUAACAAGCUCGUAGUUGGAUUUCUGCUGGGGCUGGCUGGUCUACCCGCUGGGUGAAUAUCGGGCAUAGCCUGAGCAUCUGUUUGAAAUAUGCUACUGCGUUUGACUGUGUGGUGUGGUAUUUACCGCUUUUACUUUGAUAAGCAGCAGAGUGUUCCACGCAGGCGCGUGCCUUGAUAUGUGAGCAUGGACUAAUGUUUC